GGUACUCCAUUGUCUGAUGGAUCUGAGAACGCUGUCUGGGCUUGGUACCAAGAGCUGGUAUUUCACAGCAGCGACCGCCUCACAGACGAGCUGUGGGAAGCAGGAGGGAGACUCUCUCUUAGGGUGCCACUACUAUGGAGACACAGCUGGGCUGAACAAGAUUUGCUUCAAACGACAACAAGAGAGACAGAAAGUAUCUGGUUCAACCGCUGCCCGAGCAGGCAGGCACCAGAAGAGCUAGCAGCCAAUCCGGCCAUGCUCGAAGCCAGCUCUGCAGCUCAGCCAAUCAGUGACAUCAUUGCUUUCUUUAGCUUGCCCAUGGUGAUGUGAAGAUGAGAAGAAAUAGCAAGGCCCAACCAGUUCUUCAUCUGGAGACAGUUCAACGUUCUGCAAACCAGAUCUUCAGGAAUUUUACUGGGAUAAUUAUCCAAAUAAAUUGCAAGCAUUCUAUCCAAAUGGAGCUCUUUCUGAGAUGAAGAGAAUUCUCAAUGUCAAGAUUUGAACAAGAAGAGAAUGGAAUACACAAUAUGGACAU
RNAcentral lists this long non-coding RNA (535 nucleotides) under Homo sapiens (human). RNAcentral's name for it is "non-protein coding MIR99AHG:48". Lineage: Eukaryota; Metazoa; Chordata; Mammalia; Primates; Hominidae. The record is from RNAcentral.